CCUUUACCUAGGCUGCAGGAUGUAGGACAGGCUGUGAUUGUUCUCGGAGCUCAGGGACCCGGGCAGCUGGGAACAAAGUGGGAGUCAGACCUAUCAUUUCUCGGACCUUUUACGGGCAAUGAACAGGAAAGGAGACGUGGAAUACUUUUGUUCGGGGAGCCAUUUCUAGAGAAAUCACCAGACAACAGAUUUCCUGAAAAGUACAGAGUCCUCCCUUCUCUGCAGCAAGCGAGUCUAGACUUCAGCUGUUCUGGAGCACAACAGCAGCCAGCGAGUCUACUUGACCUUGCAGGUUAGUGAGUCCAGUAGAGGGACGGUAGAGAAAUGCUGAAGGGAUGGGGAAGUUUA
RNAcentral lists this long non-coding RNA (348 nucleotides) under Chinchilla lanigera (long-tailed chinchilla). RNAcentral describes it as "lncRNA (ENSCLAG00000024296.1)". Lineage: Eukaryota; Metazoa; Chordata; Mammalia; Rodentia; Chinchillidae. The record is from RNAcentral.